GGAGCGGUGGCCGAGUGGCCGAAGGCAACGGUUUGCUAAACCGUCGUACCGUAACUGGUACCGGGGGUUCGAAUCCCCCCUGCUCCG
Molecule: transfer RNA, 87 nt
Filed under: Treponema sp.
Lineage: Bacteria; Pseudomonadati; Spirochaetota; Spirochaetia; Treponematales; Treponemataceae
Description: tRNA-Ser
Rfam family: tRNA
About the family: Transfer RNA (tRNA) molecules are approximately 80 nucleotides in length. Their secondary structure includes four short double-helical elements and three loops (D, anti-codon, and T loops).
Source: RNAcentral